RNA transcript from Harmonia axyridis, 1983 nucleotides. It is a transcript of the gene named dorsal root ganglia homeobox protein, with no coding region annotated. The record is from RefSeq and is a predicted model, not a curated record. The transcript is spliced from 10 exons. NCBI's taxonomy places the organism in Eukaryota, Metazoa, Arthropoda, Insecta, Coleoptera, Coccinellidae.
AUUCCUGUUCAGAUACUUCAUCAUAGCACCAACAGCCUAGAAUUAGACUGAAAUUGAUUCAACUAUGACUCGAGAUACCUUCAAUAAGUUACUUCAAAUCACAACUACAAGAAAAACAGUCAACCAAACGAGAAACAGUAUGAGCGAUGAGUACCUCAAGGAUUGCGGGUGGUGGGGGCAGAGGCAUGUUCUGCUAUCACUGCCCGCCUGCUUUACAUCCUGGUGCGCCUCAGCCUAGGCUUCCCACGUUGGAGUAUCCUUUCACGCCCAGCCAUCCUUAUACGAGCUAUUCUUACCAUCCAGCAAUUCAUGACGACACGUUCGUUAGGAGGAAGCAGAGGCGUAACAGGACGACUUUCACUCUCCAACAGCUGGAGGAGUUGGAGACUGCCUUCGCUCAGACCCACUACCCUGACGUCUUCACCAGAGAAGAUCUGGCCAUGAAGAUCAACCUCACGGAGGCUCGCGUUCAGGUUUGGUUCCAAAACAGAAGGGCCAAAUGGAGGAAGGCCGAGAGGUUGAAGGAGGAACAAAGGAAAAGAGAAGGACAAGAAAUGCUGAAGAGAGACGGCGAUGCCAAGGAAGAAAAGCUGGAGGAAAUCAACGCUACCAGUUCUCCAGAACCACCAAACGUCGGAGAGGACGAGAUACAGACCAGAGAGUGUUCAAGCAGGAGUAGCGCCGGUAGAGAGUCUCCGGACCAAGGCAAGGGGUCUACAGAAGCUGGUGACCCUUCGAAUCCUUCUUCGCCUCACAGUCCGGCACCGUCGGUGUCUUCCGAGCCUCCGAGGCAGCUUCCACCACCUUUUCCGCAUCUGUUUCCUUUCGGAGAUGGCUCUGCAAGCUUCAGGCCUAUGAUGGACCAUUCGAAUUCAACAGCUAGAUCUUCGUCUGCGUUGUUCUUCCCGCCCCAUUUAGCAUCACACUUUUCGCCGCCACUGUUCCCAACAUUGAAAGGAUUCCCCGGCCUCUGCUCCUGCUGCCCCAUCAAGCCGCUGUCUUCGCUCGGAUCGCAGCUGCUGCCAUCUAGCGAGGCGUCGCAGCUCUCUCCGCACAACGACCAGCGCUCGUCCAGCGUCGCCGAUCUGCGCAGGAAGGCGCAGGAACACUCCGCCGCCAUUUUGCAGAGCCUGCAGCACGUGGCCAACUUCCAGCAGGCGGCCAGUUUGGCGGGAGGACUGAACUUCCCGCUCCUGCCGCCGCUGUCGCUGCAGGCGGCGUUCCACAGCAGGAAGCAGGAAUCUGCGAACGAGGCAGCGGCGUCUCAAGGCAAAGAGCAGACGGGAUCAUAGAACGAGGGAUCGUUUUCUAUGGGCGGCGAUUCGUUUUGAAAAUGUAAGGUUAUUCGUCGGGGCAAUCGGUUCAAGUGAUAAAAAGAAUGUUUGUUUUCUAGAUAAAAAUUGAUUAAUCGUAGCACUUAAGGUACAAAAGAUAUUAUGGUCGUCUCGACUAGUCAUAAGAGGCGAUGGUUCUGUCUUGAAUCUGUAUAUAUAUAAAGGUUUCUGUUGAAUCAAGAGAUGGAACGUAGAGUUUCAAGAAAUGUUGGUCGAGAAUUUUUCGAACGGGAAUGAAAACAGAUGGUUUUUGCUUUGAUGAGAAGAAAGAAAAAUAUUGUUGAAGAGAUCAAUAAAGUUAUGAUUUGAGUUUUGGAAAAUGCGAAGAAUUGUUGAUCUGAGAAAUUUUUGAAGAGGAGCUAAGAGUAGCAGUUUGGCUCAGGUUUGAAAGAUGAGUAAAAAUGCUGGAAGACUAUCAAAUACUCCAUUGAAAUGUAUGUGUGAAUGAGCCCAGCCGAAAACUGAGAACUUGGAGGAGAGCAAAUCUUGUUGCUGUAUUUCUACAAAAUACGUUCAGCAUCUCAACUGGAUAUACAUAUACUCAUAUUUAGCUUUUUUGAAUUGAAAUGUCGUUCCUAACAAUGUCAUUGUACUUACGAUUCACGUUAUUUUUUGUAUAAAUAUAAAAAAAGGGUUUAAAAUAUAUGUA